Molecule: long non-coding RNA, 969 nt
Organism: Nerophis lumbriciformis (worm pipefish)
Lineage: Eukaryota; Metazoa; Chordata; Actinopteri; Syngnathiformes; Syngnathidae
Source: RefSeq, a predicted model, not a curated record
CCUGACUUCCUCCUUGCAGGCAUUACAGACGUCAGCAGGUAUACUCAAACAUCUCCCUUCUCAGUUUCACAAAUUUCUCAGUAAAUUCACCAAUACGUCACCAUUGGGGUCUGUUUAGCUGAUGGGAGAUUCAGCUUCCAAAGCUACGAUGACGUCUUUUGUGCUUGAUCAGCCGCUUUACUGCCCUGUUACAGACACUGUUUGAAAACAGUUAAGGUUCCAUUUUCCAUCCAUGUUCUACCGCGUGUCCCGUUCAGGGUCGCGGGGGGUCCUGGAGCCUAUCUCAGCAGCAUUCGGGAGGAAGGCAGGGUACACCCUGGACAAGUCACCACCUCAUCACAGUUGAUUUGGACAAGUCUGAACGCAGUCUGGGACCUAACAGGCCAAACCAAACAGAGGGAUUGAGAUCACCUGAGAGAUGGGUCUUGGCCUGUGUGUCAGCGGGCUCUGGUCCUGAGUGAGGUAAGUGUGUGAAUGCCAACUGGACUACCAGACCAACAAAUGCGGCCGCAAGUAGACGAUGCAUAGCAACAAAAGUAUUUCGAAUGUAUAGUAUGUGACCCAGAAGAUGCGUUUGUGUUGUUGUUUGGGGUGCGUGAGGUCAUCAGACAAUAAACAGAAGUACAGUGUUCAGUGCUCAAAGAAGUGGUCUUGGUAAGGAACACGACACAGUUGUGAUGUCAAGACUGCCCCAAGAGAUUUUUCAAAGGUUUUAUGGACUGAUGAGAGUGACUCUUGACGGUCCAGAUGGACAAUCCCUUGGCUGGAUCAGUGCGGGCCACCAUUUCCAAUCAGAAAGUAUGGGCUGGCGUUAUUAAAGAUGAGGAAGUUGGGAUAUUUUCAGGUUGAAGGACGACACUUUCUGCAGAUUCUGGUAGAGCAAAAAGUCUAAACCGUAUUUUUUUUUUAAAUGCAGGAAAAUGUUUGUGGUCAUUAUUUAUUUAUAUUUGAUGUUUUUUCCUCACCUGA